GGAGAGGUGGCCGAGUGGUCGAAGGCGCUCCCCUGCUAAGGGAGUGUACGGGUAAUCCCCGUACCGUGGGUUCGAAUCCCACCCUCUCCGCCA
Molecule: transfer RNA, 93 nt
Filed under: Rhodovibrio salinarum
Lineage: Bacteria; Pseudomonadati; Pseudomonadota; Alphaproteobacteria; Rhodospirillales; Rhodovibrionaceae
Description: tRNA-Ser
Rfam family: tRNA
About the family: Transfer RNA (tRNA) molecules are approximately 80 nucleotides in length.
Source: RNAcentral